CAUUGUCUCUUCCUCAAAUAAAAUAUUUGUGUUACACUGAGCUUCAACCAUCCAAUACCAAACACUGUUGUUGCAAUGUAUAACAAAGAAGGAGCAAGGGGUGGGGGUGGGGUAAGGAAGACAGAGUAGACACCAGAGAGCAAACAAGUAGGCAAUAUAAGGAAACUAAAGCUAAUGACAGGAAAAUAGCUUGGCAGGAGGGAGAAAAGCAUUGUGCUAUAAAGAGGAAGUCUUUGUGUGUGUAGGUGUAUGUUGGGGGGAUAGUGUUUUGCAUUUUCGCUGCAGUGGUAGCUAUUCAAAUCUGAUAGCAACUGUAAUUAUGUAAUAUAAAACACUAGGUAAUGAGCACCCAGGACCACCCUGUACUAUCUUUGUAACUUCCUGUGAGUAAACAACUUCAAAAUAAAAAAAUUAAAAAAAAAAAAA
This 426-nucleotide long non-coding RNA is filed under the name Rattus norvegicus (Norway rat). Its description in RNAcentral is "long non-coding RNA NONRATT028925". Lineage: Eukaryota; Metazoa; Chordata; Mammalia; Rodentia; Muridae. The record is from RNAcentral.